Molecule: signal recognition particle RNA, 87 nt
Filed under: marine eukaryotic metagenome
Description: Bacterial small signal recognition particle RNA
Rfam family: Bacterial small signal recognition particle RNA
About the family: The signal recognition particle (SRP) is a universally conserved ribonucleoprotein involved in the co-translational targeting of proteins to membranes. Archaeal SRP consists of a 7S RNA and homologues of the eukaryotic SRP19 and SRP54 proteins.
Source: RNAcentral
UGGUCCCUCCGCAAGUAUUCACCGUGAACCCCGCCAGGCCCGGAAGGGAGCAACGGUAGCGGUAUCGUAUUGUGCCGGAGUGUGGCU